RNAcentral lists this ribosomal RNA (406 nucleotides) under uncultured bacterium. RNAcentral describes it as "partial 16S ribosomal RNA". It matches the Rfam family "Bacterial small subunit ribosomal RNA", at positions 30 to 526 of the family's 1533-position model. The record is from RNAcentral.
AUUGAACGCUGGCGGCAGGCCUAACACAUGCAAGUCGAACGAGUGGCGGACGGGUGAGUAAUGUCUGGGAAACUGCCUGAUGGAGGGGGAUAACUACUGGAAACGGUAGCUAAUACCGCAUAGCAUUAGGAGGGGCCCGAUUGGAUUUGCUUGUUGGUGGGGUAACGGCCCACCAGGGCGACGAUCCCUAGCUGGUCUGAGAGGAUGACCAGCCACCCUGGAACUGAGACACGGUCCAGACUCCUACGGGAGGCAGCAGUGGGGAAUAUUGCACAAUGGGCGCAAGCCUGAUGCAGCCAUGCCGCGUGUAUGAAGAAGGCCUUCGGGUUGUAAAGUACUUUCAGCGGGGAGGCGUUACCCGCAGAAGAAGCACCGGCUAACUCCGUGCCAGCAGCCGCGGUAAUUC